GAUGAACGCUGGCGGCACGCCUAACACAUGCAAGUCGAACGCGUAUUUUAGAUUUUAGAUUUUGGAUUUUGGACUUUAGUUUACUAAUUUCCAACAUCUAGUUUCUAACUUCUGAUUUAUGAGUGGCGGACGGGUGAGUAACACGUUGGAACCUACCCCGAAGAGGGAGAUAACAACCCGAAAGGGUUGCUAAUACCCCAUAUACUCCGAUUUAUUCGGAGGAAAGCUUUUGCGCUUCGGGAGGGGCCUGCGUAACAUUAGCUUGUUGGUGAGGUAAAAGCUCACCAAGGCUACGAUGUUUAGCUGGUUUGAGAGGAUGAUCAGCCACACUGGGACUGAGAUACGGCCCAGACUCCUACGGGAGGCAGCAGUGAGGAAUAUUCCACAAUGGGGGAAACCCUGAUGGAGCGAUGCCGCGUGCAGGAAGACGCUUUUCGGAGUGUAAACUGCUUUUAAUAGGGAAGAUUAUGACGGUACCUAUCGAAUAAGGACCGGCUAACUACGUG
This 506-nucleotide ribosomal RNA is filed under the name uncultured organism. RNAcentral's name for it is "bacterial SSU rRNA". It matches the Rfam family "Bacterial small subunit ribosomal RNA", at positions 28 to 507 of the family's 1533-position model. The record is from RNAcentral.